Acanthosepion pharaonis is the source of this 86-nucleotide non-coding RNA. Lineage: Eukaryota; Metazoa; Mollusca; Cephalopoda; Sepiida; Sepiidae. The record is from the annotation of a GenBank genome assembly.
UUCUCGUACGAACACCGCAGUUAAGCAACAUCGAGCCUGGUCAGUACCUAGAUGGGUGACCGUUUGGGAAUGCCAGGCGCCGUAAG